Pan troglodytes (chimpanzee) is the source of this 1051-nucleotide long non-coding RNA. RefSeq lists it as uncharacterized. The record is from RefSeq and is a predicted model, not a curated record. The transcript is spliced from 4 exons. NCBI's taxonomy places the organism in Eukaryota, Metazoa, Chordata, Mammalia, Primates, Hominidae.
GCAAAGUUGGAAUGAGCGCAGAGCGGUGCGCCCGAGGGGGUUGAAGCGUUGAAAGUGUGUUACCCAGAUUUUAUCUGAGUUAAACACGGGCCGGCCGCUGUGGCUCACGUCUGUAAUCCCAGAGCCUUGGGAGGUCGAGGCGGGAAGAUCGCUUGAGCCCGGGAGCUCGAGACCAGACGCCGCAACAUGGCGAGACCCACAUUUCUGCCUUUAAAAAUGUACAUAUGAACAUAUUAAUAAAUUAGGUGGGAGAAAGUGACCUCCUCCGCCCAAAUAAAAAUAUUUAAAGGACACUUGAAUCUGGAUCUCAGAAAAUGAAUAAUUUCUUAGUAUAAACGUCCUGUGCACCAUUUGGUUGGGACAAGAGAGGCUGGCGGUUACCUUUCUUGGGGAGACGCGUCCGACUGCUUCAUUGUGGGGGCCUCAGGAGCGGAGGAUCGGGUCCCGCCCGAGGUGACGCGUAAACCCGGACUCUCAGCAACGCGGGUAGGAAGCACCCUUGAAGUUCCGCGGCGACCACGUCGGCUGAAACCAGCAGCCCAGGACAAGUGGACCAGCCAGCAAGACCCAGACCAUCCAAACCGGCUGAUCCUACGACAGGACCCAGAUGCCAGUGAAAGUGACCACAGCCCUGCUCUAGUCACCUCGGGAGCUGACCAGUCUACGCACGGCCGAAGCUUGAGGAGACGCCAGCCCUGCUCUCGUCACCCCGGGAGCUGACCAGUCUACACACGGCCGAAGCUUCAUCAAGGAAACCCAAGGCCUCCACCCCUCGAAUUCCCAGUUCACAGACACCAGCCUGGGGAUCACCUCCUUGUCAGAAGUUGGAAAGAGGAAAAACUCAGCCAACCUGGGAAGGACUUUAUCGGGUGCUCCUGACCACCGAGACGACGGUCGGAAAGGGCCCCAUCCCUGGAGGGAUCUUGGACCUUCACUCCAGGAUCAACGCCUUCCAAAUUAACAUUCAAAAAGGUUUAAUCUGUCUCUUCCUUCUCCCUGUAGCCGCCCAAGGACGUCUUAUUAUCAAUAUAAGGUGAUCACCGUUUCCCCA